GUCAGUAGUCAUGAUUCUGACCAAGUGGAAUGCUGUUGGAGAAUGGAGGCGAAUGAUGGGCCCAGUAGACCCAGAAGAAGCAAAACUGCUGUCUCCAAAUUCCCUCCGAGCCAGAUAUGGAAUAGACGUUUUGAGAAAUGCUGUCCAUGGGGCAUCUAACAUGUCUGAAGCAGCAACUGCCAUUAGUAAUGUGUUCACAGAGAGCAAUUUUGAGAACUAGGACAAAUACUAGAAAACUCAAUGAGAUAAUGAAGAAGUUUCAUCACAUAAAACCAUGAGGCACAACUUCCUGUAAAGAGUAAGAACAAAAAUUUCUCCAAGAGAAACACACAUGGAGAUGAAAACUCGCAUGGCUAUGCAUGGUAACAAUAAAAACUGUAACCCCCCAA
This 389-nucleotide long non-coding RNA is filed under the name Rattus norvegicus (Norway rat). RNAcentral's name for it is "long non-coding RNA NONRATT013020". The record is from RNAcentral. Lineage: Eukaryota; Metazoa; Chordata; Mammalia; Rodentia; Muridae.